GCGGGUGUAGUUCAAUGGUAGAACACCAGCCUUCCAAGCUGGUCACGUGGGUUCGAUUCCCAUCAUCCGCUCCA
RNAcentral lists this transfer RNA (74 nucleotides) under Eubacterium sp. RNAcentral's name for it is "tRNA-Gly". It matches the Rfam family "tRNA". Rfam says of the family: Transfer RNA (tRNA) molecules are approximately 80 nucleotides in length. Their secondary structure includes four short double-helical elements and three loops (D, anti-codon, and T loops). RNAcentral also lists the same sequence under 3 other names. Lineage: Bacteria; Bacillati; Bacillota; Clostridia; Eubacteriales; Eubacteriaceae. The record is from RNAcentral.